Molecule: unclassified non-coding RNA, 206 nt
Filed under: uncultured Polyporales
Lineage: Eukaryota; Fungi; Basidiomycota; Agaricomycetes; Polyporales
Description: sequence contains ITS1
Source: RNAcentral
CUGAAUUUAACAGCCGAGGUUGUAGCUGGCCGCACCACGGCAUGUGCACACCUUGGUUAUCCAAAUUCUUACACCCCUGUGCACUUUUCAUGGGAUAGUUGAGGCAGUUGGGACACUCUGCGUGUUCUUUCAGCUUUAUCUGUCUUGUGCUUAAUACAUUAAACACCUCAGUAUAGAAUGUAUCUCUGCGUUAAACGCAAUCUUAA